Molecule: ribosomal RNA, 200 nt
Filed under: uncultured bacterium
Lineage: Bacteria
Description: partial 16S ribosomal RNA
Rfam family: Bacterial small subunit ribosomal RNA
Source: RNAcentral
AGUGAACGCUGGCGGCAGGCCUAAUACAUGCAAGUCGAACGGCAGCACAGCAGAGCUUGCUCUGUGGGUGGCGAGUGGCGGACGGGUGAGGAAUACAUGGGGAUCUGCCCAGUCGUGGGGGAUAACGUAGGGAAACUUACGCUAAUACCGCAUGCGCCCUUCGGGGGAAAGCCGGGGGACCUUCGGGCCUGGCGCGAUUG